AUUGAACGCUGGCGGCAGGCCUAACACAUGCAAGUCGGACGGUAGCACAGAGGAGCUUGCUCCUCGGGUGACGAGUGGCGGACGGGUGAGUAAUGUCUGGGGAUCUGCCCGAUAGAGGGGGAUAACCACUGGAAACGGUGGCUAAUACCGCAUAACGUCGCAAGACCAAAGAGGGGGACCUUCGGGCCUCUCACUAUCGGAUGAACCCAGAUGGGAAUAGCUUGUAGGCGGGGUAAUGGCCCACCUAGGCGACGAUCCAUAGCUGGUCUGAGAGGAUGACCAGCCACACUGGAACUGAGACACGGUCCAGACUCCUACGGGAGGCAGCAGUGGGGAAUAUUGCACAAUGGGCGCAAGCCUGAUGCAGCCAUGCCGCGUGUAUGAAGAAGGCCUUCGGGUUGUAAAGUACUUUCAGCGGGGAGGAAGGCGGUGAGGUUAAUAACCUUGCCGAUUGACGUUACCCGCAGAAGAAGCACCGGCUAACUCCGUGCCAGCCGCCGCAGUAA
RNAcentral lists this ribosomal RNA (506 nucleotides) under uncultured bacterium. RNAcentral's name for it is "partial 16S ribosomal RNA". It matches the Rfam family "Bacterial small subunit ribosomal RNA", at positions 29 to 523 of the family's 1533-position model. The record is from RNAcentral.